CGCGAAAGGGGCUUCGGCCCUGAGUAGAGUGGCAAACGGGUGAGUAACACGUGGGUGACCUGCCUUCGAGUGGGGGAUAACGUCCCGAAAGGGACGCUAAUACCGCAUGACAUCCUGCCUUUGGAAAGGCGGAGAUCAAAGCCGGGGAUCGUAAGACCUGGCGCUUGAAGAGGGGCCCGCGGCUGAUUAGCUAGUUGGUGGGGUAAUGGCCCACCAAGGCAACGAUCAGUAUCCGGCCUGAGAGGGCGGACGGACACACUGGGACUGAGACACGGCCCAGACUCCUACGGGAGGCAGCAGUGGGGAAUUGUUCGCAAUGGGCGCAAGCCUGACGACGCAACGCCGCGUGGAGGAUGAAGAUCUUCGGGUCGUAAACUCCUGUCGAGCGGGAAGAAUUGUUUCGGAGCUAACACCUUCGAAGUUUGACGGUACCGCUAAAGGAAGCCCCGGCUAACUCCGUGCCAGCAGCCGCGGUAAUACGGGGGGGGCAAGCGUUG
RNAcentral lists this ribosomal RNA (497 nucleotides) under uncultured bacterium. RNAcentral's name for it is "bacterial SSU rRNA". It matches the Rfam family "Bacterial small subunit ribosomal RNA", at positions 67 to 543 of the family's 1533-position model. The record is from RNAcentral.